UCAUUGCUGGAACGUAGGCCCUACCAAGGGCGCUAUCCCAGAAACCCUUUGUGAACUAUACCUUUUGUUGCCUCGGCACUGGUUGGCUUCUAUGAAGUCCCGUGUUUUUGCACGGAGCAGACCGGCCGGUGGCCCCUAUAAACUCUUGUUUUUGUAUUAUCUUCUGAGUAAACAACUAUAAAUGAAUCAAAACUUUCAACAACGGAUCUCUUGGUUCUGGCAUCGAUGAAGAACGCAGCGAAAUGCGAUAAGUAAUGUGAAUUGCAGAAUUCAGUGAAUCAUCGAAUCUUUGAACGCACAUUGCGCCCAGUGGUAUUCCACUGGGCAUGCCUGUUCGAGCGUCAUUUCAACCCUCAAAAGCCUGGCUUUUGGUGUUGGAGGAAUACCUGUAAAAGGGUACCCUCUGAAAUUUAGUGGCGGGCUCGCUAGAAUUUUGAGCGUAGUAAUUUUACCUCGUUUUUAAAGACUAGUGAGACUUCUUGCCGUAAAACCCCCCAACUUUCUGA
This 506-nucleotide ribosomal RNA is filed under the name Ophiognomonia sp. BPI 877665. Its description in RNAcentral is "eukaryotic LSU rRNA". The stretch from base 191 to 344 matches the Rfam family "5.8S ribosomal RNA". Lineage: Eukaryota; Fungi; Ascomycota; Sordariomycetes; Diaporthales; Gnomoniaceae. The record is from RNAcentral.